Long non-coding RNA from Hemicordylus capensis (graceful crag lizard), 552 nucleotides. RefSeq lists it as uncharacterized. The transcript has 4 exons. The record is from RefSeq and is a predicted model, not a curated record. NCBI's taxonomy places the organism in Eukaryota, Metazoa, Chordata, Lepidosauria, Squamata, Cordylidae.
UAUUAGUCCAUAAGUAGGGGCUUGGGAAAUGAUACACACAAUGUUGUAUUUCCUUUCCUGUUCCUUGUAUAAAAUAUACCCUUUAACGAGCCAUUGUUUUCCAUGAAACCAGAAAUUAUUUUUUCAGAAGACACAAGAUGACCUCAACGUGCGAUGGGAAUCAUACAGAAGAAGGCGCUCUCUAAGGUAACCCGGACCUAAGCCGGUCAGGGCUUUAAAGCAGGAACCCUUUGAAAAGGUACCAGAAAACUCAUUGAUUGAAGCAGUGAUAAGCAAGCUUUUCACAGAGAACAUUCUGGCAAACAUCUCUGAUCCAAGAACUCCUAGGGGCUAGCAGGUUUAGAUCUGGAUUUGACCCAUGAGGUUCUUACCAUCUUGCUUUAUGUGAAGUUAGUAUAAUACAGGUGCAGUCAAGGAACUGAUGGCCCCGAGCUAUUGAAAAAGGAGAGGCAAGGUGUGUCGAUGGGCUAACAUUCAUGCUGUGAAGAUUCUGGAAAGGCUGCGAGUAAUAAAAAUCAAAUUAAUAAAAACAAAAAUUCUUACUGAAUCAGG